GAUGAACGCUGGCGGCGUGCCUAAUACAUGCAAGUCGAACGAACAGACGAUGAGCUUGUUCCUCUCACGUUAGCGGCGGACGGGUGUGUCACACGAGUAUAACCUACCUAUAUGUCUGGGAUCACUUCGGGACACCGGAUCUAACACGGGAGAAUAUAUUGAACCGCAUGGUUCAAUAGUAAAAGACGGUUUUGCUGGCACUUAUAGAUGGAUCUGCGCCGCAUUAGCUGGUUGGUGAGGUAACGGGUUACCAAGGCGACGAUGCGUAUCCGAACGGAUAGGCUGGUCGGCCACAUGGGAACGGAGCCACGGUCAAGAGGCCUAAGAGACGCAGCAGUAGGGAAUCUGCCGCAAUGGGCGAAAGCAUGACGGAGCAACGCCACGUGAGUUAUGAAGGUCUUGGGUGCGUGAAACCCGGUUACUAGUGAAGAACCAAUGUGGAAGGAGCCAAGCCGGUCUUGACGGUAAUUAGUAAGAAAGCAACGGCUAACUACGUG
RNAcentral lists this ribosomal RNA (497 nucleotides) under uncultured bacterium. Its description in RNAcentral is "partial 16S ribosomal RNA". It matches the Rfam family "Bacterial small subunit ribosomal RNA", at positions 28 to 507 of the family's 1533-position model. The record is from RNAcentral.